This 235-nucleotide ribosomal RNA is filed under the name uncultured bacterium. RNAcentral describes it as "partial 16S ribosomal RNA". It matches the Rfam family "Bacterial small subunit ribosomal RNA", at positions 118 to 349 of the family's 1533-position model. The record is from RNAcentral.
UGGGCAACCUGCCCCUAGCUCUGGGAUAACUGCGGGAAACUGUAGCUAAUACCGGAUGUGACACGAGACUGCAUGGUCUUCGUGUGGAAAGAUUUAUCGGCUAGGGAUGGGCCCCGCGGUCUAUCAGCUUGUUGGUGGGGUAAUGGCUCACCAAGGCGACGACGGGUAGCCGGCCUGAGAGGGUGACCCGGCCACACUGGGACUGAGACACGGCCCAGACUCCGUACGGGGAGGC